This 838-nucleotide ribosomal RNA is filed under the name Fusarium sp. 3 JZG-2021c. Its description in RNAcentral is "partial large subunit ribosomal RNA". It matches the Rfam family "Eukaryotic large subunit ribosomal RNA", at positions 69 to 937 of the family's 3401-position model. Lineage: Eukaryota; Fungi; Ascomycota; Sordariomycetes; Hypocreales; Nectriaceae. The record is from RNAcentral.
CAGGGAUUGCCCUAGUAACGGCGAGUGAAGCGGCAACAGCUCAAAUUUGAAAUCUGGCUCUCGGGCCCGAGUUGUAAUUUGUAGAGGAUACUUUUGAUGCGGUGCCUUCCGAGUUUCCUGGAACGGGACGCCAUAGAGGGUGAGAGCCCCGUCUGGUUGGAUGCCAAAUCUCUGUAAAGUUCCUUCAACGAGUCGAGUAGUUUGGGAAUGCUGCUCUAAAUGGGAGGUAUAUGUCUUCUAAAGCUAAAUACCGGCCAGAGACCGAUAGCGCACAAGUAGAGUGAUCGAAAGAUGAAAAGCACUUUGAAAAGAGAGUUAAAAAGUACGUGAAAUUGUUGAAAGGGAAGCGUUUAUGACCAGACUUGGGCUUGGUUAAUCAUCUGGGGUUCUCCCCAGUGCACUUUUCCAGUCCAGGCCAGCAUCAGUUUUCCCCGGGGGAUAAAGACGGCGGGAAUGUGGCUCUCUUCGGGGAGUGUUAUAGCCCACCGUGUAAUACCCUGGGGGGGACUGAGGUUCGCGCAUCUGCAAGGAUGCUGGCGUAAUGGUCAUCAACGACCCGUCUUGAAACACGGACCAAGGAGUCGUCUUCGUAUGCGAGUGUUCGGGUGUCAAACCCCUACGCGUAAUGAAAGUGAACGCAGGUGAGAGCUUCGGCGCAUCAUCGACCGAUCCUGAUGUUCUCGGAUGGAUUUGAGUAAGAGCAUACGGGGCCGGACCCGAAAGAAGGUGAACUAUGCCUGUAUAGGGUGAAGCCAGAGGAAACUCUGGUGGAGGCUCGCAGCGGUUCUGACGUGCAAAUCGAUCGUCAAAUAUGGGCAUGGGGGCGAAAGACUAAUCG